Molecule: long non-coding RNA, 284 nt
Filed under: Malus domestica (apple)
Lineage: Eukaryota; Viridiplantae; Streptophyta; Magnoliopsida; Rosales; Rosaceae
Description: long non-coding RNA (MDOM_LNC005623)
Source: RNAcentral
AACAUGAAACAACAUUAAACAAUAUGAAAUAACAUUAAAUAACAUUAAUCAACAUACAAAUUAUACAACAUAAAAAAACAUUUAACAACAUGAAACUUAAACAAAAUUUUUAAAAACAUUUAACAACAUAAAACUUAAAAGCCUACUCCAUGCUUCUUUUGGCCCAAAGAUGUGCAACAAGAUCCUGUUGUAGGUACGUAUUUGUGGCAUGAGAACGUAUCAUUCUAUAGCGCCUCAUAUACUCAUUUAUAGAGAUACUACCAGUUCUUGGAUUGAAAGGCAAA